Non-coding RNA from Hydra vulgaris (swiftwater hydra), 237 nucleotides. The record is from RefSeq and is a predicted model, not a curated record. NCBI's taxonomy places the organism in Eukaryota, Metazoa, Cnidaria, Hydrozoa, Anthoathecata, Hydridae.
AGAGUACAAAAUUGGUUAAAAGAUUAAAUUAAGUAACAGGUAUUGUUGAGGGAUUAUUUAUAGUUCUAAUUAUAAUUAUUUCUUAUGAAUAGAGUUAUUUUCAGAUUGAAGAAGAUGUUUUUUCUUCACAUUUUAUUGAUGAACACAUUAAAACCAAGCAAGUUCACAUUGUCAAAGAGUUUCAAGUUUUAAUGAGGAAAUAUCAAGAAUUGCUCUUGAGCCAAGCCCAAAGAAAAA